Molecule: unclassified non-coding RNA, 352 nt
Filed under: soil metagenome
Description: partial contains 5.8S ribosomal RNA, internal transcribed spacer 2, and large subunit ribosomal RNA
Rfam family: 5.8S ribosomal RNA (bases 1-120)
Source: RNAcentral
GAUGAAGAACGCAGCGAAAUGCGAUAAGUAAUGUGAAUUGCAGAAUUCAGUGAAUCAUCGAAUAUUUGAACGCACAUUGCGCCCGCCAGUAUUCUGGCGGGCAUGCCUGUUCGAGCGUCAUUUCAACCCUCAGGCCCCCAGUGCCUGGUGUUGGGGAUCGGCCCAGCCUUCCUGUAAGGCCGCCGGCCCCGAAAUCUAGUGGCGGUCUCGCUGUAGUCCUCCUCUGCGUAGUAGCACAACCUCACAGUUGGAACGCGGCGGUGGCCAUGCCGUUAAACACCCCACUUCUGAAAGUUGACCUCGGAUCAGGUAGGAAUACCCGCUGAACUUAAGCAUAUCAAUAAGCGGAGGA